UUGACUGCACGCCCAGCUCUCCAUAUUUCUUAGCUGUGCGUAGCUUUAACAAGGAGGAAAUGUGAAUCCCCAGGCUCGGGGUGCGGCAGUGUGGAGACCUGUCGUAACGCGGCGCGCUCCCCCGCGGGCGGCCGUGAGGACAAACGGGCGGAGGCCCCUUGUCCGGAGCCGGCAGUAUGGCA
Molecule: non-coding RNA, 182 nt
Filed under: unclassified sequences
Description: malK-I RNA
Rfam family: malK-I RNA
Source: RNAcentral